Non-coding RNA from Pelobates cultripes (western spadefoot toad), 669 nucleotides. NCBI's taxonomy places the organism in Eukaryota, Metazoa, Chordata, Amphibia, Anura, Pelobatidae. The record is from the annotation of a GenBank genome assembly.
GCGGAAAGUUUAAUCUAAGUAACUGUUGUCUGCACAUAGAUGAUGAAGGGCAGGCAGUGGCUGAACUUACAAGCCACAUGGUUAAAUUUGAGCAUGUACCUACUCAGGUCUGGAAUGGGUAUAACCUAAGUAGUUGGUUUGGAAGUUGGUAUGAGCAGCUUGGAGGAAUUAAGACAUUAGUAGGAGGAGUAGAACUUAUUAUAUUUUUUUUUGUGCCUCCUCCUGCCCUGUCUAAUUCCACUAGUGGUAAGGUCCCUACGUAGCAUUAUAGAGAGUACUAUAGAGAGAAAGACAGCUGCCCAUGUAAUGGCUGUCUGGAAGAUAUGAUCCCCUAGCCCGAAGAGAAUAUAUUCAGGAUGAAGAAUGUUGAAGGAGUUUUUAAGAUGCUUACAAGGUCUACUCUGGUUCAAUGGCUACUUGAGAGAUGUAGGUAAAACUGUGAUUGGUGAUGCAUCUGGAAUAAUGUUAUAUCAGAGGCAUCAAAAGGGGGGAAUGUGAUGGGAUUCCAGCAUGGUCAAAAUUUAGUAGGCCAAAAUUUCCAUGUGGCAUAUGUGUAUGUUGUGUCAGUUGGUUAGCUACAUGUAGCUAGGAUACUGUCAUCAGUGUACUGAGCAUGUGCAGGAAUGCAGGAACUGAAAUUGCACUUAUUUCCUUUGUCUUGGAUGAGCC